GCUCCUCGCGCCAUCAGAUCCUACGGAGGCAGCAUGGGGAAUAUUGGACAAUGGCGAAAGCCUGAUCCAGCAAUGCCGCGUGAGUGAUGAAGGCCUUAGGGUUGUAAAGCUCUUUCAGUUGGGAAGAUAAUGACGGUACCAACAGAAGAAGCCCGGCUAACUUCGUGCAGCCGCCGCGGUAAUAC
This 185-nucleotide ribosomal RNA is filed under the name uncultured bacterium. RNAcentral's name for it is "partial 16S ribosomal RNA". It matches the Rfam family "Bacterial small subunit ribosomal RNA", at positions 335 to 526 of the family's 1533-position model. The record is from RNAcentral.